This 281-nucleotide long non-coding RNA is filed under the name Homo sapiens (human). RNAcentral describes it as "LHRI_LNC1623.1". Lineage: Eukaryota; Metazoa; Chordata; Mammalia; Primates; Hominidae. The record is from RNAcentral.
AGACCCUAGCGGGCAGGCACACAAGCGGCUGGACGUCAAGAGAAGCAGAGGCAAGGAACAACAUACCAGCAGAAGAACACAGUGACAGACUCCGGCAGGCCACCAACAGCAGAACGGCAGGACAACGCGGAGUUUGGCUGAGGGCGGUCAGAGGAGAGCCUGGCUGCUAAGCGGCCUGACUCCAGGGGAAAACCACCUUCCCACUCCAUACCCCUUCUGGCUCCGUUUCCAUCUGCUGAGUGCUACUUCCACCAUUCAAUAAAACCUUGCACUCAUCCUCC